This 533-nucleotide ribosomal RNA is filed under the name Pseudomonas sp. RNAcentral's name for it is "bacterial SSU rRNA". It matches the Rfam family "Bacterial small subunit ribosomal RNA", at positions 62 to 590 of the family's 1533-position model. Lineage: Bacteria; Pseudomonadati; Pseudomonadota; Gammaproteobacteria; Pseudomonadales; Pseudomonadaceae. The record is from RNAcentral.
CAGAGCGGUAGAGAGAAGCUUGCUUCUCUUGAGAGCGGCGGACGGGUGAGUAAUGCCUAGGAAUCUGCCUGGUAGUGGGGGAUAACGUUCGGAAACGGACGCUAAUACCGCAUACGUCCUACGGGAGAAAGCAGGGGACCUUCGGGCCUUGCGCUAUCAGAUGAGCCUAGGUCGGAUUAGCUAGUUGGUGGGGUAAUGGCUCACCAAGGCGACGAUCCGUAACUGGUCUGAGAGGAUGAUCAGUCACACUGGAACUGAGACACGGUCCAGACUCCUACGGGAGGCAGCAGUGGGGAAUAUUGGACAAUGGGCGAAAGCCUGAUCCAGCCAUGCCGCGUGUGUGAAGAAGGUCUUCGGAUUGUAAAGCACUUUAAGUUGGGAGGAAGGGCAGUUACCUAAUACGUGAUUGUUUUGACGUUACCGACAGAAUAAGCACCGGCUAACUCUGUGCCAGCAGCCGCGGUAAUACAGAGGGUGCAAGCGUUAAUCGGAAUUACUGGGCGUAAAGCGCGCGUAGGUGGUUUGUUAAGUUG